Molecule: ribosomal RNA, 399 nt
Filed under: Triticum aestivum (bread wheat)
Lineage: Eukaryota; Viridiplantae; Streptophyta; Magnoliopsida; Poales; Poaceae
Description: partial small subunit ribosomal RNA
Source: RNAcentral
AUGGUACUUUUUUUGGAGUUGAGCUGCAAGUUGAGAAAGGCAUGCAUGGCAUGUCACCUUCUGGUAAGAAGGGCGGGCUUCUUCAACAGCGACGGCGUUUUCUGGAGAGGAGGGAGCCUUGGCGUCGCCUCCUCAGGGCUAGAGGAGGGAACAAAGAGCAAGCUGGAGGGCCCAGUUCUCGCGACGACGAUCACGUGGGAUUUCAUUUUAUUUUUUCCGUGUUGUCAUGUGGCAGAUAGCAAGAAUGCGAACUGGGAUGUUGCUGUUACUCAAGCUCUUCAGAUGAUCAAAGGGAGGCAAACAGAACAACUUCAUCGGCUUAGAGAAGCAAUGGAGCAUCUUUCAACAAUGGUUUCUUUAGUUUUACCUUUUGUUGCUGGUAUGGUUGUCUCAGUUUAG